This 428-nucleotide ribosomal RNA is filed under the name uncultured bacterium. RNAcentral describes it as "bacterial SSU rRNA". It matches the Rfam family "Bacterial small subunit ribosomal RNA", at positions 64 to 507 of the family's 1533-position model. The record is from RNAcentral.
GAACGAGAAAGGGGAGCAAUCCCUGAGUAAAGUGGCGACCGGNGUGAGUAACACGUGACCAACCUACCCUCGAGUGGGGAAUAACUCCGGGAAACCGGGGCUAAUACCGCAUAACAUCUCCGGCUCGGAAGAGCUGGCGAUCAAAGGAGCAAUUCGCUUGAGGAGGGGGUCGCGGCUGAUUAGCUAGUUGGCAGGGUAAUGGCCUACCAAGGCGAAGAUCGGUAGCCGGCCUGAGAGGGCGCACGGCCACACUGGAACUGAAACACGGUCCAGACUCCUACGGGAGGCAGCAGUGGGGAAUUUUGCGCAAUGGGGGAAACCCUGACGCAGCAACGCCGCGUGGAGGAUGAAGUCCCUUGGGACGUAAACUCCUUUCGACCGGGACGAUAAUGACGGUACCGGUGGAAGAAGCACCGGCUAACUCUGUG